Molecule: microRNA precursor, 168 nt
Filed under: Pelobates cultripes (western spadefoot toad)
Lineage: Eukaryota; Metazoa; Chordata; Amphibia; Anura; Pelobatidae
Source: RNAcentral
GCAGACACAUUCCAGCCAAUCAGCAGCAGACCCUCCCUCCUAGACCCUCCCACCUCCUGGACAGCAUCCAUUUUACAUUCAUUGUGAAUCUGCAUUCUUAGUGAGCUGUCCAGUAGGUGGGAGGGUCUGGGAGGGAGGGUCUGCUGCUGAUUGGCUGGAAUGUGUCUG